RNAcentral lists this ribosomal RNA (683 nucleotides) under Rhodotorula glutinis. RNAcentral's name for it is "LSU rRNA". It matches the Rfam family "Eukaryotic large subunit ribosomal RNA", at positions 1 to 673 of the family's 3401-position model. The record is from RNAcentral. Lineage: Eukaryota; Fungi; Basidiomycota; Microbotryomycetes; Sporidiobolales; Sporidiobolaceae.
GAUUCCCCUAGUAGCGGCGAGCGAAGCGGGAAGAGCUCAAAUUUAUAAUCUGGCACCUUCGGUGUCCGAGUUGUAAUCUCUAGAAGUGUUUUGAUUCCCCUAGUAGCGGCGAGCGAAGCGGGAAGAGCUCAAAUUUAUAAUCUGGCACCUUCGGUGUCCGAGUUGUAAUCUCUAGAAGUGUUUUCCGCGUUGGACCGCACACAAGUCUGUUGGAAUACAGCGGCAUAGUGGUGAAACCCCCGUAUAUGGUGCGGACGCCCAGCGCUUUGUGAUACACUUUCAAUGAGUCGAGUUGUUUGGGAAUGCAGCUCAAAUUGGGUGGUAAAUUCCAUCUAAAGCUAAAUAUUGGCGAGAGACCGAUAGCGAACAAGUACCGUGAGGGAAAGAUGAAAAGCACUUUGGAAAGAGAGUUAACAGUACGUGAAAUUGUUGGAAGGGAAACGCUUGAAGUCAGACUUGCUUGCCGGAGCUUGCUUCGGUUUGCAGGCCAGCAUCAGUUUUCCGGGGUGGAUAAUGACGGUUUGAAGGUAGCAGUCUCGGCUGUGUUAUAGCUUUCCGUUGGAUACAUCCUGGGGGACUGAGGAACGCAGCGUGCUUUUUGCGAAAGACUCGUCUUUUUCACGCUUAGGAUGCUGGUGGAAUGGCUUUAAACGACCCGUCUUGAAACCCGGGGACCAAAAGAG